GAUGAAGAACGUAGCGAAAUGCGAUAAGUAGUGUGAAUUGCAGAAUUCAGUGAAUCAUCGAAUCUUUGAACGCACAUUGCGCCCUUUGGUAUUCCUUAGGGCAUGCCUGUUCGAGCGUCAUUUACAAAUUCAAGCUCAGCUUGGUGAUGGGUGUCUGUCCCGCCUUUGCGCGUGGACUCGCCUCAAAUGCAGUUGGCAGCUUAUCCCUCGGCUCUAAACGCAGCAGAUUUGCGUCGAGCGUCGUGUGGAAGGGCUCUCCAGUAAGCAAACCCCCCAAAAUUGACCUCGGAUCAGGUAGGGAUACCCGCUGAACUUAAGCAUAUCAAUAAGCGGAGGA
This 337-nucleotide unclassified non-coding RNA is filed under the name soil metagenome. RNAcentral describes it as "partial contains 5.8S ribosomal RNA, internal transcribed spacer 2, and large subunit ribosomal RNA". The stretch from base 1 to 120 matches the Rfam family "5.8S ribosomal RNA", at positions 35 to 154 of the family's 154-position model. The record is from RNAcentral.